Molecule: long non-coding RNA, 304 nt
Organism: Dermacentor silvarum
Lineage: Eukaryota; Metazoa; Arthropoda; Arachnida; Ixodida; Ixodidae
Exons: 3
Source: RefSeq, a predicted model, not a curated record
AAAGUCAGCCGCAUCUUUGGAGGCGCGCUGGGCCCUAUUGUCCUGCCUCGUCCUGUGCAUGAUUACGAGCGUCCCAAGCUGCAAGCAGAUCCGUAUCUUAUCAGGAAAGCAAAUGCUGGAAGCGAGGGCCAACUUCGGGAAAAUGAUGAAGGAGUGCAGUAAAGAACUUGCAAAAAUGGCCUCGCUCGCACCAAAAAACGACAUUGUCCAGAGGUUGUCACUUAUUUGCGCCGCAUACAACAGCUGCGUUGGCGAAGCAAAUGAGAAGAUAAAGGAAGGUGUCCAGCAGGAGCCUAACCAAAUG